GGCGGUGUAGCUCAGCCCGGUUAGAGCAGCGGCUUCAUAAGCCGCGCGUCGGGGGUUCAAAUCCCUCCACCGCUACCA
Molecule: transfer RNA, 78 nt
Filed under: Planctomycetota bacterium
Lineage: Bacteria; Pseudomonadati; Planctomycetota
Description: Planctomycetes bacterium (freshwater metagenome) tRNA-Met
Rfam family: tRNA
About the family: Transfer RNA (tRNA) molecules are approximately 80 nucleotides in length. Their secondary structure includes four short double-helical elements and three loops (D, anti-codon, and T loops).
Source: RNAcentral